GUCCCCAUCCUCAGAAUAAGACAGCACAUGUACUAAAAUGUGAAUGAUACAGAAAUUAGCAGGGUCCCCCGCAAGAAUGAUAUGCAAAUUUGUGAAGUGUUUCAUAUUUUU
Molecule: small nuclear RNA, 111 nt
Organism: Oryctolagus cuniculus (rabbit)
Lineage: Eukaryota; Metazoa; Chordata; Mammalia; Lagomorpha; Leporidae
Source: Ensembl